AGGACGAACGCUGGCGGCGUGCUUAACACAUGCAAGUCGAGCGGAAAGGCCCUUCGGGGUACUCGAGCGGCGAACGGGUGAGUAACACGUGAGUAAUCUGCCCCUAGCUCUGGGAUAGCUCCGGGAAACCGGGAUUAAUACCGGAUACGACCACUUUAGACAUCUGUUGUGGUGGAAAGAAUUUUGGCUAGGGAUGAGCUCGCGGCCUAUCAGCUUGUUGGUGGGGUAAUGGCCUACCAAGGCGACGACGGGUAGCCGGCCUGAGAGGGCGACCGGCCACACUGGGACUGAGACACGGCCCAGACUCCUACGGGAGGCAGCAGUGGGGAAUAUUGCGCAAUGGGCGAAAGCCUGACGCAGCGACGCCGCGUGGGGGAUGAAGGCCUUCGGGUUGUAAACCCUUUCAGCAGGGACGAAGCGAAGUGACGGUACCUGCAGAAGAAGCGCCGGCUAACUACGCGCCAGCAGCCGC
RNAcentral lists this ribosomal RNA (472 nucleotides) under uncultured bacterium. Its description in RNAcentral is "SSU rRNA". It matches the Rfam family "Bacterial small subunit ribosomal RNA", at positions 26 to 518 of the family's 1533-position model. The record is from RNAcentral.